This 72-nucleotide transfer RNA is filed under the name Ictidomys tridecemlineatus (thirteen-lined ground squirrel). Its description in RNAcentral is "Spermophilus tridecemlineatus (thirteen-lined ground squirrel) tRNA". It matches the Rfam family "tRNA". Rfam says of the family: Transfer RNA (tRNA) molecules are approximately 80 nucleotides in length. Their secondary structure includes four short double-helical elements and three loops (D, anti-codon, and T loops). The record is from Rfam by way of RNAcentral. Lineage: Eukaryota; Metazoa; Chordata; Mammalia; Rodentia; Sciuridae.
GGAGUUGUGGUUCAGUGGUAGAGCACUUGCCUAGCAUGUAUGAGGCACUGGGUUCAAUUCUCAGCACCGCAA